This 169-nucleotide ribosomal RNA is filed under the name uncultured bacterium. RNAcentral's name for it is "partial 16S ribosomal RNA". It matches the Rfam family "Bacterial small subunit ribosomal RNA", at positions 338 to 523 of the family's 1533-position model. The record is from RNAcentral.
CCUACGGGAGGCAGCAGUGAGGAAUAUUGCACGAUGGGCGCAAGCCUGAUGCAGCAACGCCGCGUGAGGGACGAAGGCCUUCGGGUCGUAAACCUCUUUUCUGGGGAAAGAGCAAGGACGGUACCUCAGGAAUAAGUCUCGGCUAACUACGUGCCAGCAGCCGCGGUAA